RNAcentral lists this ribosomal RNA (468 nucleotides) under uncultured bacterium. Its description in RNAcentral is "partial 16S ribosomal RNA". It matches the Rfam family "Bacterial small subunit ribosomal RNA", at positions 28 to 507 of the family's 1533-position model. The record is from RNAcentral.
GACGAACGCUGGCGGCGUGCUUAACACAUGCAAGUCGAACGGAAAGGCCUGCAGCUUGCUGCGGGUACUCGAGUGGCGAACGGGUGAGUAACACGUGGGUGAUCUGCCUUGCACUUCGGGAUAAGCUUGGGAAACUGGGUCUAAUACCGGAUAGGACAGCUGUUUAGUGUCAGUUGUGGAAAGUUUUUUCGGUGCAAGAUGAGCUCGCGGCCUAUCAGCUUGUUGGUGGGGUAAUGGCCUACCAAGGCGUCGACGGGUAGCCGGCCUGAGAGGGUGUACGGCCACAUUGGGACUGAGAUACGGCCCAGACUCCUACGGGAGGCAGCAGUGGGGAAUAUUGCACAAUGGGCGGAAGCCUGAUGCAGCGACGCCGCGUGGGGGAUGAAGGCCUUCGGGUUGUAAACUCCUUUCGACAGGGACGAAGCCUUUGUGACGGUACCUGUAUAAGAAGCACCGGCUAACUACGUG